RNAcentral lists this non-coding RNA (18 nucleotides) under Gadus morhua (Atlantic cod). Its record names the gene gmo-miR-19c-5p. The record is from miRBase by way of RNAcentral. RNAcentral also lists the same sequence under 3 other names. Lineage: Eukaryota; Metazoa; Chordata; Actinopteri; Gadiformes; Gadidae.
UGUGCAAAUCCAUGCAAA